GUCAAAAGUUUGGACACACCUACUCAAUCAAGGGUUUUUCUUAAUUUAAAUUUUUACUACAUUGUAGAAUAAUAGUAAAGACAUCAAAACUAUGAAAUAACAGACAUGGAAUCAUGUUGUAACCAAAAAACUGUUAAACAAAUCAAAAUAUAUUUUAUAUUUGAGAUUCUUCAAAGUAGCCACCCUUUGCCUUGAUUAAAGCUUCGCACACUCUUGGCAUUCUCUCAACCAGCUUCAUGAGUUAGUCACCUGGAAUGCAUUUAAAUUAACAGGUGUGCCUUGUUAAAAGUUUAUUUGUGGAAUUUCUUUCUAAAUGCAUUUGAACCAAUCAGUUGUGUUGUGACAAGGUAGGUAUGGUAUACAGAAGAUAGCCCUAUUUGGUAAAAGACAAAGUCCAUAUUAUGGCAAGAACAGCUCAAACAAGCAAAGAGAAACAACAGUCCAUCAUUACUUUAAGACAUGAAGGUCAGUCAAUACGGAAAAUGUCAAGAACUUUGAAAGUUUCUUCAAGUGCAGUCGCAAAAAACAUCACGUGUUAUGAUAAAACUGGCUCUCAUGAGGACCACCACAGGAAAGGAAGACCCAGAGUUACCUCUGCUACAGAGGAUACGUUCACUAGAGUUAACUGCGCCUUAGACUGAAGCCCAAAUAAAUGCUUCAUAGAGUUCAAGUAACAGACAUCUCAACAUCAACUGUUCAGAGGAGACUGCGUGAAUCGGGCCUUCAUGGUUGAAUUGCUGCAAAGAAACCACUACUAAAGGACACCAAUAAGAAGAAGAGACUUGCUUGAGGCAAGAAACACGAGCAAUAGACAUUAGACUGGUGGAAAUCUGUCCUUUGGUCUGAUGAGUCCAAAUUUGAGAUUUUUGGUUCCAACCGCCAUGUCUUUGUGAGACGCAGAGUAGGUGAAUGGAUGAUCUCUGCAUGUGUGAUUCCCACCGUGAAGCAUGGAGGAGGAGGUGUGAUGGUGUGGGGGUGCUUUGCUGGUGACACUGUCAGUGAUUUAUUUACAAUUCAAGGCACACUUAAACAGCAUGGCUUCCACAGCAUUCUGCAGCGAUCCCAUCUAGUUUGCACUUAGUGGGACUAUCAUUUGUUUUUCAACAGGACAAUGACUCAAAACACACUUUCAGGCUGUGUAAGGGCUAUUUGACCAAGAAUGAGAGUGAUGGUGCUGCAUCAGAUGACCUGGUUUCCACAAUCCACAAUCACAAUGGUAAAAAUGUAGAAAAACCCUUGAAUUAGUGGGUGUGUCCAAAUUUUUGACUGGUACUCUCACUCUCUCUUUCGCACUCUCGCUCU
Molecule: long non-coding RNA, 1302 nt
Filed under: Salmo salar (Atlantic salmon)
Lineage: Eukaryota; Metazoa; Chordata; Actinopteri; Salmoniformes; Salmonidae
Description: lncRNA (ENSSSAG00000113101.1)
Source: RNAcentral